RNAcentral lists this small RNA (78 nucleotides) under Flavobacterium noncentrifugens. RNAcentral describes it as "Flavo-1 RNA". It matches the Rfam family "Flavo-1 RNA". Lineage: Bacteria; Pseudomonadati; Bacteroidota; Flavobacteriia; Flavobacteriales; Flavobacteriaceae. The record is from Rfam by way of RNAcentral.
CCCUAGCCCGGAUUGCAGCGGUAUCCUUUUGCCGGCUUUUUAGCAGGUAAAAGAUACAAGCGGAAAGCCGGAAAUAGC